Molecule: long non-coding RNA, 5961 nt
Organism: Acinonyx jubatus (cheetah)
Lineage: Eukaryota; Metazoa; Chordata; Mammalia; Carnivora; Felidae
Exons: 7
Source: RefSeq, a predicted model, not a curated record
AGCGCGGGAAGCUGGGGGCGGAGCCGGAGCGGCCAGGCGGCCCCGCGACGCAGCGGGCUCAGAGGUCCUCGCCCACCGUGGAGAGCUGUAUGGGCUUAAGAGUCACCUGCCUUGGAAACGUGUGUGUCAGACUUCGUCUGCUGUUUGCAGAACACUAGCCACACUGGGGAAGCGCGGAAUGAGUAACAGCCUCUGCUUUCAAGGAUAUCCCAAUCAGUCAGGCGGAGGAGCAGAUGGGUAAACAGAAACUGAAGAAGAGGCUGAAUAUGAAGCAGUUGGAAUAGUGAAAAGACAGCAGCCAUUGAUACAUGGACUCACGGCCAGAGAAGACAAGAAAAUGAGCCCCUCAGAAAUUAUCGACUAAAACAGAAUGAAUGGAUCCUGGCUAAGCCCCUGCCAUGGCAAAAUCCAGUGGAAUUGAUGUUCAGAAAGGGCUCUUGAUGAUUUGCUGUGUGAAGUGGAUUAAUACUGUCGGGCCAGCUCUAAGAAUAUCACACACAAUCACAGAGUCUGGACUUCUAGACUCCAAAUUCUCUUCCCUGCAUAAAGGAGGCUGCACUGUUACUGCUUUAGCUCAGUGCUUCAGUCAUGCCUUCCAUGAGACCCUGACCAAAAAAGAUAAAAUCUAAAUGUACAGUGGAAGAAAGAAAGUGAUACGUCCAGCAACUAUUUCUCAGAGAGCUGUCACUUAACUGCUUAUGUGCUUAAAUGGAGCAAGCUGCCAUGUUAGAGAGUCCCACGUGGCAAAGAACUGAGAGAGGCCUCCAGCCAACAGCCAGAGAGGAACUGAAUCCUGCCAGCAAGCAUGCUGCCCCUGUGACUGCUUUUACCAAUAGAUGGAAGUGGAUAUGUUGUUCUGGGACUUCUGAAUCCAGGCCUGAGAGAACUGGUUACCUCCUCUCCCUUUUUCUUGGAAUACUGCUUCUUAGAACCCAGUUACUAUGGUGGGAGAAGCCCAAGCCACAUGGAGAAAUCAUGUGAAUUAGAGCCAAGACACUCCAGUUGACAGCUGCAACUGAGCCUGCAUCAACUACUAUUGAUGUAAAUGAAUCUUCCGACCCCAAAAGAUUUUGAUCUUUGAACAAGACCUAAUGAACAAGGCCUAAUUAGCAUUUUAAUCUAAUCAAUCAGUUCACAAAUUUCUCUUUGCUAGGGAAGGGAUGGAGGAGUUGGAAGGGCUGGGGAAAUAUUUGUAACUCCCAGUGCACCAAUAGCUGGGGUGGGGAAUUUAUUUUGCUCAUAUGGUGCAUCUCUGAUAAGCCCCACCCAUAAAAUUGCAUCCCUGAUGAGCCCAGUCUAUAAUUGGGCUUUAAGGCAGUCACUAUGCACUAUGGCUCCUAUCUAGAUGUGGAGCCUGUAAUCUGUUUCAUACUUGGCCCCUUGUUCUUUACUCUGAAGUGACCUGGCCAUGUAUCAUGCCUUGACCUACCUAUAAAAUAAGCCACAUCUUCCCACAAGUUGUGACAAGGAGUACAACCUACUUGGAGGCCACUUUCCUCUCUAUGAAUAGGAGAGAACUAGUAAGGAACAAAUUAAAACAGUUAGUUUACUUUCUACCAAUUAGAUGCUGCCAGCACUUGGAAAGGGAAGUCAAGAUGUAGUCAUCCACCAAAGGAUAAAUAGUGGUCCCUCAGUAGGUUCCACUGCCCAUACAUGGACUUGAAUUCUCCCUGCUUCUGGACUAAGUAAGAAUGAUCAAGGAGCCUGUGGAUAUCUGUUGUCUUCCCAAUAUCCCUUUUUCCACUGGAGAACAUCCCUUCCCUGUCCCUAGUAGUUCCGGUAGUAUUAUCAAGUAGUGCCGUACCAACAUCGUUGGGUAGAGGUGGAAAAGUGCCCUAGGCCUAGAUAGUUGUAAUGCUUCCUCUUACUGUCCACAGUAGUCAAAUGAAUGGGCAUAUGACACAGUUACAGACAAUCAGAGUCACUACAUGAGAUAUGCUAGAAUAUGGUUGGAGAGUAAGGCUCUUUUUCUAGAAUUGAACGUUGUUGAGAAUCAUAAAGUCAAAAGAUACACAUGUCCUUGUUUCCUACCACAGAGGAGAGCAGAGCUGAGAGAGGGAAUAAUAAGGCCUAAUGACAUUGUUUAAACACCUAUAUCAAGCUAUGCUUGAAGAUAAUACCAAUCCUAGGGCUUUUCGGUUAAUUGAACCAACAAAUUCCCUUUCUUAAUGCUUAAGGGAAUUGGAGUUGGGUUUCUGUUAGUUAUACCUAAAGAGUCUUGGGUAGCAAGGGGCACUAUCCUUGAUCCUUCCCUGACAUUUGUAUCUUGAAUUAUGAAAGGGAGGACACUAAUUAUUCACCCUUAUCUAUCACGAAUGUAUUAAUUUGUGGGGCACUUGGGUGGCUCAGUCGGUUGGGCAUCGGACUUCGGCUCAGGUCAUGAUCUCGCAGUUUGUGAGUUCGAGCCCCAUGUCGGGCUCUGUGCUGACAGCUCAGAGCCUGGAGCCUGCUUUGAAUUCUGUGUCUCCCUCUCUCUCUCCCUCUCCCCCAUUCACACUCUGUUUCUUUAUUUCUCUCUCAAAAAUAAAUAAACAUUAAAAAAAAUUUUUUAAGAAUAUAUUCAUUCUUCAGAGCCCUUGAUCAUCAAUUCUGGGGGGGGGAGGGGUGGUAAGGAGGCAGGGCAAUUCUCUUCAUUUUUCACAUGUAGCAUCUGAUAGAAAGAUGAAGGUCCUUCUAACAGCUCAGUAGCUGUCCAAUUAAAAAUGCAUAUUGAGUAGCUAUAUAAUAAAAUACAAGAUAAUCACCAUCAUCAAGUGAGGGACCUCAUGGAGACAAGAUUUAUAUACAUGCAAUACCUAGAUAGCUAUCACAGGCUUGACACAUUUUAUAGGACAAAAUAAAAUGCACAAAUAGCAUGUACCAUAAAAAUUUGAGAAAUUUCAGGGUUUCCUGGUCAGAUGAUAGAAAACCUCAAAAAAGAACCUGGAAAGUAUCAGUAUGCCAAAAUGGUUAGGAAAUUUGGCUCCUUAGGGCAAAGGGGCAAGUGGAAACUCUGGAGACCGACAUUUUAUUCCAUUCCUUUUUGUAUGUCGUCUCUCUCUUCCAUAAAAUCUGAAACCUGUUGCUCUUAUUUAUAUUUUGGUGGUUGUUUUUUUGUCACUCCCUGUGUGUCCCUCAAAGACAGGAACCAUGUCAUGUUUACCAGUGAAUCCCUGGCACAAAUCUCAGGAACUAGUAUAGAGCAGAUGGUCAGAUGCAUGUUGAAUGGAGGGAUGAAUGGAUGGGGCAGCAGCACCAAGAUCCAAGCCAUUGGAGACUCACAGACCAUUCCUCUUCUUCCUCCCUACCCUUCCUGUCUAACUUUCCUCUCUGCCAUAUAGGUGCAGUUAAAACAUAUGUCAUUUGCCAGGAUACAAGAUGCAAAUUAGUAAGUGCUGGGGAAGUAACAAAUUAGAGUCACUGUCCUACAUAUUUCCCUAGACCUUGAGGACCUGGCUCUGCCAAGGGCUCCCUGCCCAGGGACAUAAGCUGCUCUCUUGCCAGCUUGCUGUGCUGACAGCUCUAAUUGCUAAAUGAACAGUCUGUGUUUCUAGUGAGAGAGGUUCUCAAAGAGUGUUGGCUCUUGAAGCCCUGAGAAGGGAAAACAAUAUUGUGCAAUCAAAAACUACCACCUCAGCAGGAGAGGUCAGGACUGGAUUUUCCAUUACAGGAGGGGUAAAUUUGGAACCUGAAGGCAUUCUUGGAAUUUUGGUUCCCAAAGUGCAGUGGAACCCGUCUGAUCAUUGGAAACGUGGAUGAGCUUUGCUUUCAGAACGCAAGCUACUAUAAAAAUAAUGGUUUGCAAAACAAAUUGUGUAGUGGUGGUAGAGUUUCUGGGUUCUACAAACAUCACAGCAUGAAUCUUUAAAGUCCUUCCAUAAAUAUAUAUUUUGGGGAUAGAUGCAUAUCGGGUAGAGAAAUCAAGAAUUCUGAAAUUUGACCCUUAAAGAAGUGGCAGUUUCAUUGAGGAAUAAACCAGGCAGUCACAAUGACAUAAUUAAGAGUGCUAGGCAAAAAAUGAUAAGGAUCACAUAACAGCACUCAGGAAGAAGAAAGAAAUCAUUGCUCCCAAUGGUCUUAAGAUAGAUGAAUUUGCAAAUGAAUAUUUAGGUUAUUGAAAUCAGGAAACACCUGAGAAACUGCUGGAGAACUUCAGAAACUAUUUUAUCAAUCAGGUCUAAUCAGAUUUAAUGUGAAGAGUCUAUGUUAAAGGCUUUUGGCCAAAGGUUUCUGGUCAACACUGAGAGUUGAUAACAUUUUCACCCACAUAAGUCUUGAUUUCUCAUUAGUAUAAUCAAUAAUUUAUUACAUAGCUGUAUUUUAGUUUCUAAUUGGUCUAUUUAUAAAAGCUAAUGAUUUCGUUUUUUAAUUUUUUUUUAAGUUAUUUUGAAAGGAGCAUGAGCAGGGGAGGGGCAGAGAGAGAGAGAGAGAGAAUCCCAGGCAGGUUCCAUGUUGUCAGUGCAGAGCCCCUAAACAUUUUUCUUAAUAAAAAUAAAAAUAAAAAAAGCUAAAAGGUGCCUGGGUGGCUCAGUUGGUUAGGCAUCCAACUCUUGAUUUUGACUCAGGUUAUGAUCUCGGCAGGUUAUGAUCUCAUGGUUCAUGGGUUGGAGCCUCCCACUGGACUCUGUGUUGACAGCAUGGAGCCUGCUUGGGAUUCUCUCUCUCCCCUCUCUCUCUGCCUUUACCCCCCUCAUUCUCUCCGUCAAAAUAAAUAAACUUCAAAAAAAAAUUUUUAAAGAAAGAUAUUUAAACAAACAGAAAAUAAGAAAGAAUUAGAAAGAAUGGUACACCAAACAGCCAUAUACUCAUUACUUGGAUCCAAAACUGGGUAACAUUUUGUCAUAUUGACUUUAUCUUUGUGUAUAUACGUGUGUAUUACUAAAUCAUUUCAAAGUUUAUGUCGGUUAUGAUAGUUCAUCCUUACAUAUUUUAUGUUGUAGCUGUAAAAAGUUAAGAAUAUUCUUCUUAUUAACCAUAAUACUACCAUUAGACCAACAAAAUGAACAAUAAUUCCCUUGUGAUAAUAUCCAGCACACAUUUAUAUUUUCCUAUCUGUUCCAAAUAUAUUUUAUAGCUGUUUUAGCUUGUUACUUAAAAGAUCACUGAAAUCACAAUUACCAUUAAAUAACUACUGUUGGUAUCACUUAUAUUUUUAAUUGCCUAAUAUCCCUUCCUAUCAUGUGUUAGGUUAUAAUCUAACACAAAGAAAUUUUGGGUAUCUCAGCCCUUUUUACAAGCCCUGGCUAGACCCUUUUCCCCUUUUUUGCCUUUGUUUUUCACUUUCUUUCAGCUGGCUCCCAACUUUUUAGUUUUACCUGCUUUUUGCUACCCUUCCAACCUGACACCACUGGCCUCUGCAGUCUUGGCCUCAGUUGUCUCCUGGAUAGUUUUUGGACCCUCCUCUGGAUCUCUUUCCUUCAGUUGUUACACCCUAUUUGACCAAACCGGUGCCAACAUUGGGCAAGCUAUGCCUUGGACAUCUACUGGGGUCCUCAUCUAGGGAAAUGGGACAUUUUUGCAUUUAGCAUUUAGGGAUUCUAAAGACCUGGAAAUUUAUCUUGCCCUCUCUUUGCUGUGGCCGAACACACUUCCACGGCUUCAUUUCUGCUCCUGUUUCUCCAUCUGGCAUCUUCAGAUUGAUGCUUCAUUGAACUACAGGUUUGGUGUCGUUCUCCAGACCUCAACUAAAAGAAGAGUUUUUCUGCAUUUCAGCUGUACAUUCAUAGAGUCUUCCUUUUUAGGGUAGGUGGAGAAGGGCCAGUUCAGGAUGCCCAGGUGCCCAAGGAAGCUAAUGAUUUGAUGCUCCAUUAAAUCAAUGCUUAAAGAGUAUUUGUUUAGGGGUGCCUGGGUGGCUCAAUCGGUUAAGCAUCUGACUCUUGACUUCAGCUCAGGUUGUGAUCUCACAGUUCAUGGGUUCAAGCCCCACCCUGGCUCUGUGCUGACAGCGUGCAGCCUGCUUGGGAUUCUCUCUCUCUCUCUCUC